GGGCCCGCACAAGCGGUGGAGCAUGUGGUUUAAUUCGACGAUACGCGAAAAACCUUACCAGCUCUUGACAUGGGGAUUUUGGACCUUGGAGACAAGGUUCUUCGGUUCGGCCGGGUCCCACACAGGUGCUGCAUGGCUGUCGUCAGCUCGUGUCGUGAGAUGUUGGGUUAAGUCCCGCAACGAGCGCAACCCUUGUCCCUAGUUGCUAACAGGUUAUGCUGAGAACUUUAGGGAGACUGCCGGUGACAAACUGGAGGAAGGUGUGGAUGACGUCAAGUCAUCAUGCCCCUUACAUCCUGGGCUACACACGUACUACAAUGCUACGGACAAAGAGCAGCAAGUUCGCGAGGACAAGCAAAUCUCAUAAACCGUGGCUCAGUUCAGAUCGUAGGCUGCAACUCGCCUACGUGAAGGAGGAAUC
This 421-nucleotide ribosomal RNA is filed under the name uncultured bacterium. RNAcentral's name for it is "bacterial SSU rRNA". It matches the Rfam family "Bacterial small subunit ribosomal RNA", at positions 917 to 1333 of the family's 1533-position model. The record is from RNAcentral.